Molecule: ribosomal RNA, 497 nt
Filed under: uncultured bacterium
Lineage: Bacteria
Description: partial 16S ribosomal RNA
Rfam family: Bacterial small subunit ribosomal RNA
Source: RNAcentral
GAUGAACGCUGGCGGCGUGCCUAAUACAUGCAAGUCGAGCGAACGGACGAGAAGCUUGCUUCUCUGAUGUUAGCGGCGGACGGGUGAGUAACACGUGGAUAACCUACCUAUAAGACUGGGAUAACUUCGGGAAACCGGAGCUAAUACCGGAUAAUAUUUUGAACCGCAUGGUUCAAACGUGAAAGACGGUCUUGCUGUCACUUAUAGAUGGAUCCGCGCUGCAUUAGCUAGUUGGUAAGGUAACGGCUUACCAAGGCAACGAUGCAUAGCCGACCUGAGAGGGUGAUCGGCCACACUGGAACUGAGACACGGUCCAGACUCCUACGGGAGGCAGCAGUAGGGAAUCUUCCGCAAUGGGCGAAAGCCUGACGGAGCAACGCCGCGUGAGUGAUGAAGGUCUUCGGAUCGUAAAACUCUGUUAUUAGGGAAGAACAUAUGUGUAAGUAACUGUGCACAUCGUGACGGUACCUAAUCAGAAAGCCACGGCUAACUACGUG